ACAUGCAAGUCGAACGAUGAACCACUUCGGUGGGGAUUAGUGGCGAACGGGUGAGUAACACGUGGGCAAUCUGCCCUUCACUCUGGGACAAGCCCUGGAAACGGGGUCUAAUACCGGAUACCACUACCGCAGGCAUCUGUGGUGGUUGAAAGCUCCGGCGGUGAAGGAUGAGCCCGCGGCCUAUCAGCUUGUUGGUGAGGUAAUGGCUCACCAAGGCGACGACGGGUAGCCGGCCUGAGAGGGCGACCGGCCACACUGGGACUGAGACACGGCCCAGACUCCUACGGGAGGCAGCAGUGGGGAAUAUUGCACAAUGGGCGAAAGCCUGAUGCAGCGACGCCGCGUGAGGGAUGACGGCCUUCGGGUUGUAAACCUCUUUCAGCAGGGAAGAAGCGAAAGUGACGGUACCUGCAGAAGAAGCGCCGGCUAACUACGUGCCAGCAGCCGCGGUAAUACGUAGGGCGCAAGCGUUGUCCGGAAUUAUUGGGCGUAAAGAGCUCGUAGGCGGCUUGUCACGUCGGGUGUGAAAGCCCGGGGCUUAACCCCGGGUCUGCAUUCGAUACGGGCUAGCUAGAGUGUGGUAGGGGAAAUCGGAAUUCUGGUGUAGCGGUGAAAUGCGCAGAUAU
This 626-nucleotide ribosomal RNA is filed under the name uncultured earthworm cast bacterium. RNAcentral's name for it is "bacterial SSU rRNA". It matches the Rfam family "Bacterial small subunit ribosomal RNA", at positions 53 to 697 of the family's 1533-position model. The record is from RNAcentral.